CGACCCCCCCCCUCCCGUCCCCGGGGCCCGGGCAGCGGCUUCCCGCCGCGGGGCCCGCGAGCGCCGUCGCUGCUGGGGGCCGCCCGGCCGGCCGCCCGCCUGGGAUGAGAGGCCGCCCCCUCUGCCGGCCGCGGAAGGGGGAGCGCCCGGCGGCCGCAGGCGCCCGAGGCCGGAGGGCAGCGCGGGCCCCCGGCCCGGCCAUGGGGCGCAAGAAGAAGACGUUGCACGACUACGCGGCCGAGUUCAGCGACCUGGGCGUCAAGCGGCACCUAAUCGAGCACGGCGGCGCCGGGGAGAGCUCGGUGGUGGAGACCCUCUACUGCAAGUCCUGCGAGCUGCCCAUGCGGGUGCGGCGGGACCGCAUCCUGGAGCACCUCUCCUCCGGCCGCCACUACCGCAACCGCCGGCUGGUCAAGCAGCACGGCCUCCGCACGCCCAUCCUCAUAUCUGCAGGUUCAGACCUUGGUACCAGCCUUUCCAUGCAACUUGACACUCCUUCCCUGCUUUCUCAGCCUUCAUUUAUUCUCUCAACCAACCCCUGCAUCACCAGCACUGGCACCAGCUAUACCAUGGUACCAUCUCCACCUUCCUACCACAAGUCCUUGAUCCCUGUUCACCCCAGCGCCAUCACCUCCACAACCAGUGUCAUGUCUGCCAGAGAAGACCAAACACCCUCUACCUCUACCAGUCACCCUUCGGCAUUCGCUGCUCUCCAUAUGAGAAAUGCGCCUGUUCCCUCAAAACAGAGCACCCAAAGACUUGUUAUUUCUGAGGCAUCCAACAGCGUGGCUUCUGGAGGGUCAGUGGGACGGUACAGCAGUAGUGGGACUUCAGGAAGCAAUAUUGGUCUUGCCCUCUUCGGCGUGGGGCUUGGUAACAAAGCAUUGUUUCAAAGUUUGAUGGAAGAAAAUGGCUGCUGUUUGCUUUACAUUGUGGAGGAUCAGCUGCCAGAUGUGGAACGUGCCUUCAAUACAGAAUUCCUGGCCAACACUAGGGUGCUACGGCAGCAGGAUGCCGACAUAGUGCUCAAUGAUCAACGUGUCUCUGGAGCCAUUGUCUGUUCACCACCUGAAGCAGCCUCUGAAAUUGUGAUAGAUGCUUUACGAGCAGGGAAAGGCGUGUUUUGCGAGAAGCUACCCAGUUUAGAUAGGCAGACAGCAGAGGCUUGUUUUGAUGAAGCUGACAGAUGUGGAAGACCAUUGGUCUGUGGAUUCUACAAGCGUUUUGAUCCAGCCCUGCAGUUCUUGUAUAAAAAAGUCCAUGAUGGCCAGGCACUGGGGAGGAUUCAUCGGAUUUCGACAGUUAGCAGCAUAUAUCCAGCAGCAUCUCUUAGCUUCCUAAAAAAGUCAGGUGGGAUUUUCUAUAAUGCUGCUGUACAUGAUAUUGAUAUUAUCAGUUUGUUGCUGGGAGAAAGUGCACCAGAUACAAUAUUUUCACUGGGACAUGCAUUCUGUGCAGAUAUGGCCUACUUGAAGGAUGCAGACACUGUAGCAGUCAGCAUGAAAUUUCCUAGUGGAGCAAUUGUUACUUUGGACGUCAGUCACCACUGUACUAAAAGCUGUGAUCAGAGACUAGAGGUUCAUGGUUCUCAAGGAACAUUACGGGUAGAUAAUCAGAAUCCCUUGGGAAUUACAGAACAUGGAACAUCUGUGUCCAUAUAUUCACAAACCCAGGCUGAUCGGUACAAAGAAGCAUACAGAGAACUCUUUAGACACUUUCUCAGAACCCUCAAAGGCAAAGAACCCCCUAUUAUCACCAAAGAGCAGUUUCUCUGGACGAUUCAGGUAGCUGCAGCUGCCGAGCAGUCUUGGAGGAAUGGAUCUGCUGUUGACUUACGCAACGAAGCAAUAGACGUGUCUCUAAUCAAGACUGAAAUCAUGUGA
Molecule: long non-coding RNA, 1883 nt
Filed under: Chrysemys picta bellii (western painted turtle)
Lineage: Eukaryota; Metazoa; Chordata; Testudines; Emydidae
Description: lncRNA (ENSCPBG00000019419.1)
Source: RNAcentral